GAUGAACGCUAGCUACAGGCUUAACACAUGCAAGUCGAGGGACCGGCGCACGGGUAAGUAACACGUAUCCAACCUGCCCUUUACUCGUGGCUAGCCUUUCGAAAGAAAGAUUAAUACCCGAUAUAAAGGAUGGGGAUGCGUUCCUUUAGGUUGUUGGUGAGGUCACGGCUCACCAAGCCUUCGAUGGAUAGGGGUUAUGAGAGGAAGGUCCACCACAUUGGAACUGGGACACGGUCCAAACUCCGACGGGAGGCAGCAGUGAGGAAUAUUGGUCAAUGGGGGCUAGCCUGAACCAGCCAAGUAGCGUGAAGGAUGAAGGCUUAUGGGUCGUAAACUACUUUUAUAUAAGAAUAUGUAUUAUAUGAAUAAGGAACGGCUAACUCCGUGCCAGCAGCCGCGGUAAUAC
This 406-nucleotide ribosomal RNA is filed under the name uncultured bacterium. RNAcentral's name for it is "partial 16S ribosomal RNA". It matches the Rfam family "Bacterial small subunit ribosomal RNA", at positions 28 to 526 of the family's 1533-position model. The record is from RNAcentral.